This 470-nucleotide long non-coding RNA is filed under the name Prunus dulcis (almond). RNAcentral's name for it is "sRNA ncRNA". The stretch from base 1 to 182 matches the Rfam family "U2 spliceosomal RNA". Lineage: Eukaryota; Viridiplantae; Streptophyta; Magnoliopsida; Rosales; Rosaceae. The record is from RNAcentral.
CUUUUGGCUAAGAUCAAGUGUAGUAUCUGUUCUUAUCAGUUUAAUAUCUGAUACGUGAGCCAUUGGCUCACAUGAUAUUAAAUUAAUUUAUUUAGGGGAAGGGCCCACCACAGUAGCUUGCUAUUGGGGCUCUCGAGCGUAGCCCAAGCGUUGCACUACUGCAUGGGCGUGGCGCAUCCCAUCAAAUUUAGUUCCAACAUUUUAUUAUCUUUAAACUCAAGUUUGUGUUGUAAUAGCAUUUCCACUCAUGACAAAGGGCAGUUAUUAUUCACUGUAAUAUAUAUAUAUAUAUAUAUAUAUAUAUUUUAUACUUGAAUGAUUCAUUUAGAUAAGAUUUUCAGUUUCCACAUGUCAAUAUUUAUUAUAAAAUUCAUAUCUCAUAUUUCGGAUAAAAUUUUCAGUUGCUAUGUGUCCAUAUUUAUUAUAAAAUUAAUAUCUCAAAUUUCAUAAAAGAUUUUCAGUUGCCACGU